Molecule: ribosomal RNA, 550 nt
Filed under: uncultured bacterium
Lineage: Bacteria
Description: bacterial SSU rRNA
Rfam family: Bacterial small subunit ribosomal RNA
Source: RNAcentral
UAGGGAAUCUUCGGCAAUGGACGGAAGUCUGACCGAGCAACGCCGCGUGAGUGAAGAAGGUUUUCGGAUCGUAAAGCUCUGUUGUAAGAGAAGAACGAGUGUGAGAGUGGAAAGUUCACACUGUGACGGUAUCUUACCAGAAAGGGACGGCUAACUACGUGCCAGCAGCCGCGGUAAUACGUAGGUCCCGAGCGUUGUCCGGAUUUAUUGGGCGUAAAGCGAGCGCAGGCGGUUAGAUGAGUCUGAAGUUAAAGGCUGUGGCUUAACCAUAGUAGGCUUUGGAAACUGUUUAACUUGAGUGCAAGAGGGGAGAGUGGAAUUCCAUGUGUAGCGGUGAAAUGCGUAGAUAUAUGGAGGAACACCGGUGGCGAAAGCGGCUCUCUGGCUUGUAACUGACGCUGAGGCUCGAAAGCGUGGGGAGCAAACAGGAUUAGAUACCCUGGUAGUCCACGCUGUAAACGAUGAGUGCUAGGUGUUAGACCCUUUCCGGGGUUUAGUGCCGUAGCUAACGCAUUAAGCACUCCGCCUGGGGAGUACGACCGCAAGGUUG